GGUGAACGCUGGCGGCGUGCCUAAUACAUGCAAGUCGAGCGAACGGACGAUAAGCGUUCGUCUCUACGGGUGGCGGGUGGCGGGCGGGUGAGACAUACAUCGCAUUCUUCUAUUACGUGGGGGACAUCGUGGGACAACAGACGCUACUACCGCAUAUGUUCAACCGCAGAAAGCAGAAGAGCAUCAGACUCUUCCUGUCUCAAUUAGAUGAUGUCGCAUUAGCUAGUUGGCGAGGUAAAGGCACACCAAGGCGAGGAUGCGUAGCAGAUCUGAGAGGAUGAUCGGCCACACUGGAACUGAGACACGGUCCAGACUCCUACGGGAGGCAGCAGUAGGGAAUAUUGCGCAAUGGGCGAAAGCCUGACGGAGCCAUGCCGCGUGAGUGAAGAAGGUCUUCGGAUCGUAAAACUCUGUUGUUAGGGAAGAAAAGCUGCGUAAGUAACUGCCGCUAUCCCGACGGUACCCAACCAGAAAGCAACGGCUAACUACGUG
Molecule: ribosomal RNA, 492 nt
Filed under: uncultured bacterium
Lineage: Bacteria
Description: partial 16S ribosomal RNA
Rfam family: Bacterial small subunit ribosomal RNA
Source: RNAcentral